Long non-coding RNA from Talpa occidentalis (Iberian mole), 1249 nucleotides. RefSeq lists it as uncharacterized. The record is from RefSeq and is a predicted model, not a curated record. The transcript has 3 exons. NCBI's taxonomy places the organism in Eukaryota, Metazoa, Chordata, Mammalia, Eulipotyphla, Talpidae.
CUCUUGCAGAAACUGACUUCCCAAGCCCUCUGGUCACAAGCACCUGAAGAACAACCACUUCAAGGGCCCCAUGAACCAGUGAGACCUGGCCGUGGGGAGAGCACCACCUAUUCCCUUCCCCAUUUUUUGCAGAAACUCCUAAACUAAUAAGUCACACACAGAACUACUGGAUUUCCCGGGAGCAAGUCUCAACAUGUGUGGCCUCUCACAGGCAGAGUCCCGGCAAGGCGCAUGUGGGGCUAGGGAUUCGGUGGGAAAGGAGAUCUGCUGGGCAUGUCCAGUUCCCACAUCACGCCUGUGACUGAUGUGCACCACAUUCCUGUGUGGAUGUGUCCUGCAGCUGAAAUGUCACAGCUGCUCUCUUGUUGAAGUGACAGAGAUUAGUAACAUUGCUUUUGUGGCCAAGAAACUCAUAAAAGAUAAAGUAACCCUUGGUCAAGAAAGAUGGAUGAAGGCUCAAAUUUUAGAUUUGAGGAGGAGGAGAUGAGGUUUCAGCCUCCACUUCUGCCCUAUCCCUAGCCUGGCCUGGAUUUCUGCCCAAAAGUGCUGUCUGAGGCUAAUAUGUAUCAGUGAGCAAGAGUAGGACAUAAGCCCCCCAUCCCCCGAAGUGCCUGGCUCUGAGCCAUCCACGGUGGGCACUCAACAUCCAUUCAUCAAAUCAAGCUCUUGUACAAUGACCCUUCCCUCUUGUUAAAAUCCUCACUUAAUGAAGAACCUUCUAUUGGGCAGGCACCAUGCCAUGUGCUUCAGUCAUGUCAUAGCUCAUUAAACCAUCACACCAGGGUUGCAAGGGGCUUACAGACUCCCAAGCUGCCAGAGUAAUUCAAGCCAGUCAAUCCUAAGGUUCACCCUGCUGUGCCUGCUAUCCCCAGGAACCCCAGUCACGUCUCUGGCCUGGACGGCCCCUCAAUCCUGCUUCUGCCUCCUGAUGCAAAACUUCUCCGUGACCCUGCAUGGCUGUCGUACCAGGCCAUGCUUUUCUAGGGGAACUCUCCCUCUCCACAAAGAACCGUUAUCAUCGGACCCAAACUCCAGCAGUUGAAGAAUUGCUGAAAGCUCUCAAGAAACUUCCCUAAAAUUCUGGGACUUCACUCCAUCCCGGGGGCAAUAUGUGGACCACCAGCGAGAGGGGGCAGAACCCAGAGGGCCCCCUCCUCCCAUCGUGCCCCGGAUGAUAAAUUCAGCGCCAGAAAAAAUAAAUAAAUCUGUGGGUGUCUUUCCCCUUGAGGACAGGCAACGGCAAAAUUGU